Molecule: ribosomal RNA, 250 nt
Filed under: uncultured bacterium
Lineage: Bacteria
Description: partial 16S ribosomal RNA
Rfam family: Bacterial small subunit ribosomal RNA
Source: RNAcentral
UACAGAGACUGCAAGCGUUAUUCGGAUUCACUGGGCGUAAAGGGUGCGCAGGCGGUUGUGUGUGUCAGGUGUGAAAUCUCGGGGCUUAACUCCGAAACUGCGCCUGAAACUACACAACUAGAGUAUUGGAGAGGGUAGCAGAAUUCAUGGUGUAGCAGUGAAAUGCGUAGAUAUCAUGAGGAAUACCAGAGGCGAAGGCGGCUACCUGGACAAUUACUGACGCUCAGGCACGAAAGCGUGGGGAGCAAAA